This 496-nucleotide ribosomal RNA is filed under the name uncultured bacterium. RNAcentral's name for it is "partial 16S ribosomal RNA". It matches the Rfam family "Bacterial small subunit ribosomal RNA", at positions 28 to 506 of the family's 1533-position model. The record is from RNAcentral.
GAUGAACGCUGGCGGCGUGCCUAAUACAUGCAAGUCGAGCGAACGGACGAGAAGCUUGCUUCUCUGAUGUUAGCGGCGGACGGGUGAGUAACACGUGGAUAACCUACCUAUAAGACUGGGAUAACUUCGGGAAACCGUAGCUAAUACCGGAUAAUAUUUUGAACCGCAUGGUUCAAAAGUGAAAGACGGUCUUGCUGUCACUUAUAGAUGGAUCCGCGCUGCAUUAGCUAGUUGGUAAGGUAACGGCUUACCAAGGCAACGAUGCAUAGCCGACCUGAGAGGGGGUCGGCCCCACAGGGACUUGGGACACGGGCCAAAUCCCUCGGGGAGGAAGCAGGGGGAAAUUUCCCGGAAGGGGGGAAAGCCUGAGGGAGCAACCCCGCGGGGGUGAUGAAGGUUUUCGGAUCGUAAAACUUUUUUAUUAGGAAAGAAAAAUUGUUUAAGUAACUUUGAACAUCUUGAGGGGACCUAAUCAAAAAGCCCCGGCUAACUGCUG